Molecule: long non-coding RNA, 510 nt
Filed under: Cricetulus griseus (Chinese hamster)
Lineage: Eukaryota; Metazoa; Chordata; Mammalia; Rodentia; Cricetidae
Description: lncRNA (ENSCGRG00015040705.1)
Source: RNAcentral
CCUUAACUUCUGUGUCGGCCAUCUUGUUGCACUGACUUGACACAUCAGGAUUUCUGGGGAUGGAUGUCUUCCUCGUUGUCCAAUGGUCAGGAAACAGUCAUAUUCCCAUUACCCCUGUCCUGUCUGUACUUCUAGGCCUGCGUUGACACAACCAGAUGGAUUAGCAUCCUAAAUCUAAACUGUUUACAAAAUUCUUAUGAAUAAGCAGAUGCUUUAUUAAUGUGGACUUCUGAACCUGGGACCCGUCCCCUGGAAUGAUUGAUUAGAGAGUGUGGUGAGAAGUCGCACCGUGCAAGAGCGAUGGCAGCACCAAAACAUCUGGAGUUAGAAGAAACAGGACACAUAGGCGGCAUCUCACAGGACGCAUAGGCGGAAUCUCACAUGUCCCAACUGAGUUCCUGGAGAGACACUGAUUCAGAAGCGAGACAAGGUCUACUGUGAACUCCACAGCUCUGCAGUGGACUCGAGACCUGAGGAAAUGGAGUGUUUGUAUGCGGCUUUGCAUUCCAG